This 468-nucleotide ribosomal RNA is filed under the name uncultured bacterium. RNAcentral's name for it is "partial 16S ribosomal RNA". It matches the Rfam family "Bacterial small subunit ribosomal RNA", at positions 28 to 507 of the family's 1533-position model. The record is from RNAcentral.
GACGAACGCUGGCGGCGUGCUUAACGCAUGCAAGUCGAACGGAAAGGCCCUGCUUUUGUGGGGUUCUCGAUUGGCGAACGGGUGAGUAACACGUGUGUAACCUGCCCUUGACUUUGGUAUAACUUCAGGAAACUGGGGCUAAUAUCGGAUAGCAUCUCCUGCUCCAUGGUGGGGGUUGGAUAGUUUCGGCGGUUGGGGAUGGACUCGCGGCUUACCAGCUUGUUGGUGGGGUAGUGGCUGACCAAGGCUUUGACGGGUAGCCGGCCUGGGAGGGUGACCGGCGACAUUGGGACUGAGAGACGGAGCAGACUGCUACGGGAGGCAGCAGUGGGGAAUAUUGCACAGUGGGCGGAAGCCUGAUGCAGAAGCGCCGCGUGCGGGAUGACGGCUUUCGGGUUGUAAACAGCUUUCGCCUGUGACGAAGCGGGAGUGACGGUAAUGGGUAAAGAAGCACCGGCUAACUACGUG